Molecule: ribosomal RNA, 357 nt
Filed under: uncultured fungus
Lineage: Eukaryota; Fungi
Description: LSU rRNA
Rfam family: Eukaryotic large subunit ribosomal RNA
Source: RNAcentral
AUAUUGGCGAGAGACCGAUAGCGAACAAGUACCGUGAGGGAAAGGUGAAAAGCACUUUGGAAAGAGAGUUAAACAGUACGUGAAAUUGCUGAAAGGGAAACGCUUGAAGUCAGUCGCGUUGUCCGGAACUCAGCCUUGCUUCGGCUUGGUGCAUUUUCCGGGCGACGGGCCAGCAUCGAUUUUGACCGUCGGAAAAGGGCUGAGGGAAUGUGGCACCUUCGGGUGUGUUAUAGCCUUCAGUCGCAUACGGCGGUUGGGAUCGAGGAACGCAGCACGCCUUAUGGCUGGGGUUCGCCCACAUUCGUGCUUAGGAUGCUGGCAUGAUGGCUUUAAUCGGUCCGUCUUGAAACACGGACC